Molecule: long non-coding RNA, 767 nt
Organism: Heteronotia binoei (common prickly gecko)
Lineage: Eukaryota; Metazoa; Chordata; Lepidosauria; Squamata; Gekkonidae
Exons: 3
Source: RefSeq, a predicted model, not a curated record
GUGAAACUUGGAUUAAAGGUACCUUAAUGCCAUGAAGCCACUUUAUAUAUUCUUCUUGAGCAUCUUGGUAUCUCUCCUGUUUACUCCAGGUUGAGAUUGACUUGCUGUUUUUUGCUGUGCAGGACUGACACAAUAUAUUGAGAGUGAAUCAGAGUGUACAGCGGCUGGAGGUACAUGCAAGAAGCCAUGCACUUCUUUAGACUAUGCUGGCCACUGUACAGAUUACCAAGAUUGCUGUAUAACUGACAGAUGGAAACUACCUGGAAGAAAUGGACAAUGAGCUAUCCUCAGAGGAGCUUGCAGAAGGAAGAGAUCCACCACUGAGCACUGCACAGGCUGCUCUUCACCACUGCUGUUGCUAAGUAACUGACUCUGUUGCUACAGAGGCUGCUGCCCUCUGACCUGAGAUCAAAAGAAAUUAGUUAUGCGCUGAACUUUCUGUUUUGUUUUGUUCAGAAUGACUCUUUUUAAGGUAAGGCAAUUGUUUGUCUUUGUGUGAGCUUAUUCCUUACCCUAAUGGAAGCAAGAGCCUUUUUGUCUGCACCCCCAUAAGAAGUGGAGCAUGCCAUUCUGCUGGGCAGACCUGGGCCAGAUACCUUGCAUAGGCAAGGAUAUAUAAGGCUGAAAAUGAUAUCUGCUGAGUUUGGAGCUGGGGCUGAGUUGGCUAAAAUGCUUGCAGCUACCAGAGGCUGCCUGCUUGCACUAACAGGAGAGAAAUGUUUAAUGUUAUGCAGAUCAACCAUCAAUAAAGUCUGGUUUCACCUUUU